CAAAGAGGAAGGAGCUCUCUCAUGGAAGGGAUGGAGUAUUUCCUGUGCCAGGACCAAAUUCCUCUGGUGACAACAGCAUCAGCUUUGCCAUGAUAAUGAUGGCCUGGGUGGUUAUUGCACUUGUGUUGUUCUUGCUGAGACCUAGUAAUCUAAGAGGAUCCAACACAGUUGGAAAGCCAACCAGUCCACAUAGCUGCUACAUUUAACAUUAAAAAAAAUCAAUUUGAAAGUACAGUAGAAUACUGAGACAGUCCAUAGAAGUUGCUGUGCAGAAGAGCAGAGAUAAGGGACAAGAACCACCUGCCCCACCUGUGGACUAGACCUUUAAAAUACCGGAAAUGUUCAGCAACUAAAAUCUUGCACGACCAAAUGAACGAAAGUGACUGGAGUACUCCUAAACCCCACUCAAUACUGUUUUCCUUUUGCAUUUACAUAAAGCAAGAUGUUAUUUUCAUAAACUGCUAGUCGCUAUUUCACUUUUAAAGUUAAUUUUUGCUUUAUAUGUUAUUGCCAUUGAAUAAGUGAUAAGGAGUUACAGGGGUCUUUUGGUUGUUGUAACUGCGGACAUUCCACUCUCUUUCUGUUACACUGAUCAUAAUUUCUUUGCAGUGGUUUCUGGCCUUAAUUGAAAUAAAGUUAAAAUCCAUGUGCAUUUUUAUAUUCAUAGAAUGUUAUUGAUUAUUUUUCAGAUUUAGUCACACAUUCCCCGCCCCCCACCCCCACACACGUUUUUGGAAGUUACUUUAUUAGUUGCAAUCAUUAACUUGAGUGUUUUGUGGUGGAAAAAAUUAGAAUUAUUUUAUAUUUACCUUGCUGCUCAAAGCAGCCUUUUGUUUAGUCUUUGAACUGAAUUUAAAUAGUUUUCAGAGUUGUUUGCCAAAGCACGGAUCAUCUUCUAGAAUUAAAGUCCAUGUGAGUGUAACCGCUGUCACAACCUUGCCUUAAAUAUUAGGGACUAAAACAGAAUUUUAUAUCUCCAAACACUGAAUUGCGUGUGUCAGUAAAUGAGAUAAAUUAGAAUCCAGUAUGUUGUUAAAGACGACUAAAACUUGAACAACCAUAUACUAAACUCUAAAACUGAAGUAAUUCUUUACAGACUUGAUAAAAUGACAAAUUAAAUGACAGUUAUCCUAAACAAUUUUCUGUCCUGGAUAUAAUCUUAAUCAGUAUCUUAACAGUCUUUAGCCCCAAUGCAUUAUCUAUUUAACAGGAUGAAAACAUACCAAACAAUCGCCUUCAGGAAUAUUCCACUUACUUACAAGUUGCUUUUGACUUACAUAUGAUUAGUAAUACUUAAAGUUUUGAUCUUUUUUUUUUACUGGCGAUUUGAUUGUACAAUAAAAAAAGCAAAGGUGAAGAUCUAGGGCAUAUCUUUUCCCUUUCAUGUUUACUUGCGUGGAUGUGUGCGCGUAUGCAUCUUCCAUUUUACCUAAUGGGAGUGAGGUUUUUUUACGUACAUUAAAUAAUUUAAGAACAUUUUAAAGAUGUACAGAAAAGUAACAUUGUAUAUUUUUCUUGAUCAAUUUAAAAAAUUGAUGAGGAUAACAUCAAGACACUCUUUUAUGUUAGUAGUUGUCUAUGAAGCUUCUUUCCAUGAAGGUCAGUAAAACCAAUCUGUGGAGAGUUAAGGGCCUUAUCCUGUAAACCUUUCCUCACGUGAGUCAUCUUACUCAUGUGAGUAGCCAAAAGGACUCCUAACAUUUAAUAAUGAUUUGCAUUAAUGAGCCUUAGAAGAGCACCUUGUUGGAUCCUUUUGUUACCGGAUACAAGUUUCUCUUCCUCAGGGUAAAUAAAUAGCAGGUCAGCCAAACCUCCUUGUAAAAAAUAUAGCAUGGACCUGAAGAAAGACUUCUAUAAUUUGAUGCAACUGAUUGUCCAUUGAACUUCUCUGGAACAAUGUGUUCACAACCUAUAGUUGGGAGCACUUGUGAAGUAGUAUUGGGCCAGAUUCUCUUAAUUACAUUAAUGCCACAUGCUGAAGACAGUGGAAUUUCAGAAGAGUAGUUGAAAGAACUUAUCCUAAUGUUAACUAAUGUCAUUCUAGGUCACAAAUAUUGUCUAAGGACCUCAUUGGGAUACCCAGUCCAACUAUGCUAGUUUUUGCCUGCCUUCUGCAUUUUUGUUUGAGAACUUUAGAACAGGGUAGGUAAUAUGGCAUCUUUUUUUUUUUUUUUUUUUUUAUUGAACCAACAAAAAAGUAUGCAAUCUACCAUGUUGGCAGUUUCCUGAGAAUAAAUGGCCAAAGGUCUUCAAAUCUGGGUGCAUAAAAUUGGACUUCAUUUCCAUAGUUAAGCAUAUACCUAGAAGGGGCUUUAUUUUAAAGAAACGGAACAAUGCUGGUGCCUGUUGAAGUCGGUAAGACUUGCAGGCACUUAGAACCUUUGAAAAUCAUAAUCUUUAUAUUUAAGUGCCUAAAUAUGUAUUUAGAAGAUUAACUUUGUGCACCCAGUUCAAAGAUUUUGGCAGAUUUAUGGCUCGGUGUUUUCUAUACAUUAUGACCAGAAAAAUUAUUAAGCUGUGUGUUCAAUUCAUCAACAGGUUUUCUUAAAAUUCCUCUCACUUAUUUUCUUUAAAUUCUUUUAAGUUUGUCCAAAAGGUUUUAUAUACAUAUAUACUUUCCUUAUGAAAAUACUGUUUUAAAUUUUCUAUGUAAAAGAGAAACAUUGCAAAUCUAUUUCAAAUGUUUAAAUCUAUGUAAAAUGUUUUAGUACAUAGCCAGGCCACUAUCCCAUGUCACCACAUAUAUCUUCUAAAUUCUGUGAUACUUUCUUCAAUAUAUAAACUUCUUGUCAUUAUUACUGCAUAAAGUAAAAGUAAUUUAUUCAUAUGAUUGUAUUUUGCUACUUUUAUUCAUGUUAAAUAGUACUUGAGUCAGCAAGCAGUUCCAUUAUAAUCUGUGGGACUGUCCUCUGAAUAAUGUACUAGCAACUUUACUGAGAGAGGCAAAAUACAGCCAUAACCAGUAUGAUAUGUGAUGAAAUAUUUAUCAUGGUUACAAAAUUGUACACAGUAAAUUUUGAAGAAGCUUGAAAGAAAUUUGUGAUAUACAAAGCUUUAGAAUGCGAUCAAUUGCAUAUUUAAUUACUUUAAACUCAGCUAGUUAAGAGAAACAAGUUUUAGUGACAUGAAGAAAGAUGAGAGUUUACAGUUAUAUUUUAGUUUAUAACUUUGUUAAAGCAGUAGUAUUUUAGAGUCUGCUUAACACCACUAUUCUGAAAUUAAAAGUUGUGUUAUUCAUAUAGUGUCUGCUGAUCACCUAUCCUUGUAAUGUUCAUUAUUGAAAAAGGAAAAGUGAUCAUGUAAAUUGGUGGUUUAAAAUGUCUGAAUCAUGCCAAACAAAAAAUCGUGUUUGUGCCAUUUAGGGUUUCCUGUUAAUCUUUUAUUGAGUACUUGGAUUGGGGAAAAAAGGGCUUGUACUAUGCACUUUUUAUUGACUUAAUGAAAUAAAUAGCAAACAUUAGUAA
Molecule: long non-coding RNA, 3464 nt
Organism: Alligator sinensis (Chinese alligator)
Lineage: Eukaryota; Metazoa; Chordata; Crocodylia; Alligatoridae
Exons: 4
Source: RefSeq, a predicted model, not a curated record